UCAGUAAAUAAUACACCUGUCUCAAGAGAAUAUGCUGAUGAGAAUUGUCACGGAUUCAGUUUCUCCAACGAAUUAUGACCUUAUAUAGCUGAGAUGAGGAGAGAGCAAACAAGUUAAAACGGGUCGUUUAUAAAUCUAAAAUCUAACCACGCAGGGCGAAUAAGGUACUACUCUUCAAAGAACGUCACCGAGAGAGAUAAAGCCCAAACUGCACAUUUCCUUAAUAUAAUCAUAAAGAAAGCAAGGCUUUAAUAGGACUUUUGAGCAAUACAACUUGUGUACGUACCUACGAAAUUAAAGCAAAAUUUAGAGGUGAGAAGAUCGUGUCCGGAUUGCAUUACUAUGUCUAUGAAAAUGUCUGCCGUGUUAAUCCUUUUGCUGAUUGGAAGUUGUUUGUCACGUGAUCUUGGAGCAGCACGAGAGAAACGGUUGGACAAAACAAAAGCAUCCAAGUCAAAAGUUGUCUGUCAUUACAAUGGCAAGGAAUACAAGCCAGGAGAGAAGUUCGAUCAUGACCUGUGUAUCUGCACCGAAACUGGGGGUAUCAUGUGCGUUUAGACAAGGCUACAUCUUGUAUUGGUAACUGGAAUUUAGUUGCGACAAGAAACCUUUUUUUUUUUUAAAGUUCUAAACAGUCAUAAAAAAUAUUAAAAAUAA
Molecule: long non-coding RNA, 657 nt
Organism: Actinia tenebrosa (Australian red waratah sea anemone)
Lineage: Eukaryota; Metazoa; Cnidaria; Anthozoa; Actiniaria; Actiniidae
Source: RefSeq, a predicted model, not a curated record